GACGAACGCUGGCGGCGUGCCUAAUACAUGCAAGUAGAACGCUGAAGGAGGAGCUUGCUUCUCUGGAUGAGUUGCGAACGGGUGAGUAACGCGUAGGUAACCUGCCUGGUAGCGGGGGAUAACUAUUGGAAACGAUAGCUAAUACCGCAUAAGAGUAGAUGUUGCAUGACAUUUGCUUAAAAGGUGCAAUUGCAUCACUACCAGAUGGACCUGCGUUGUAUUAGCUAGUUGGUGGGGUAACGGCUCACCAAGGCGACGAUACAUAGCCGACCUGAGAGGGUGAUCGGCCACACUGGGACUGAGACACGGCCCAGACUCCUACGGGAGGCAGCAGUAGGGAAUCUUCGGCAAUGGACGGAAGUCUGACCGAGCAACGCCGUGUGAGUGAAGAAGGUUGUCGGAUCGUAAAGCUCUGUUGUAAGAGAAGAACGAGUGUGAGAGUGGAAAGUUCACACUGUGACGGUAUCUUACCAGAAAGGGACGGCUAACUACGUG
RNAcentral lists this ribosomal RNA (495 nucleotides) under uncultured bacterium. RNAcentral describes it as "partial 16S ribosomal RNA". It matches the Rfam family "Bacterial small subunit ribosomal RNA", at positions 28 to 507 of the family's 1533-position model. The record is from RNAcentral.